This 301-nucleotide ribosomal RNA is filed under the name uncultured bacterium. RNAcentral describes it as "partial 16S ribosomal RNA". It matches the Rfam family "Bacterial small subunit ribosomal RNA", at positions 509 to 807 of the family's 1533-position model. The record is from RNAcentral.
CAGUAGCCGCGGGAACACGAAGGGUGCAAGCGUUAAUCGGAAUUACUGGGCGUAAAGCGUGCGUAGGCGGUGAGUUAAGUCUGCUGUGAAAUCCCCGGGCUCAACCUGGGAAUGGCAGUGGAUACUGGCUCGCUAGAGUGUGUCAGAGGAUGGUGGAAUUCCCGGUGUAGCGGUGAAAUGCGUAGAGAUCGGGAGGAACAUCAGUGGCGAAGGCGGCCAUCUGGGACAACACUGACGCUGAGGCACGAAAGCGUGGGGAGCAAACAGGAUUAGUUACCCCAGUAGUCCCUGUCUCUUAUAC